This 86-nucleotide transfer RNA is filed under the name Sphaerosporella brunnea. It matches the Rfam family "tRNA". From Rfam's summary of the family: Transfer RNA (tRNA) molecules are approximately 80 nucleotides in length. The record is from Rfam by way of RNAcentral. Lineage: Eukaryota; Fungi; Ascomycota; Pezizomycetes; Pezizales; Pyronemataceae.
CCCUCUGUGGUGUAGUUGGUAUCACACCGGACUGUAAAUUCAAAGUUGUGAUCCGUUGGUCACCGGUUCGACUCCGGUCGGAGGGA